AGAGAAGUGACCGAGCGGUCGAAGGUGCACGCCUGGAAAGCGUGUGUUCUGAUUGUAUCAGAACCGAGGGUUCGAAUCCCUUCUUCUCUG
Transfer RNA from Psychroflexus salarius, 90 nucleotides. It matches the Rfam family "tRNA". From Rfam's summary of the family: Transfer RNA (tRNA) molecules are approximately 80 nucleotides in length. The record is from Rfam. NCBI's taxonomy places the organism in Bacteria, Pseudomonadati, Bacteroidota, Flavobacteriia, Flavobacteriales, Flavobacteriaceae.